UUAAAAGCUUUGAUUAGGAGUAGUAAUAUUACCUCAUAGCCUAAAGAGAGUUGUGGUUUGCUGUGACACAAUGGUAUGAAAAUAUGAACUUGCCUAUGAGCAUAUGUGUGAAAAAAAGCACAUACGGGAAAAACCCGUUAUAAAAUCGAGUGAGGAAAAGAAAUUUUCCUAAUAAGAGUGGUACCGCGAAUAUCCUUUCGUCUCUUAA
RNAcentral lists this non-coding RNA (208 nucleotides) under Clostridium perfringens. RNAcentral's name for it is "T-box sequence". It matches the Rfam family "T-box leader". Rfam says of the family: Uncharged tRNA acts as the effector for transcription antitermination of genes in the T-box leader family. T-boxes are found upstream of many aminoacyl-tRNA synthetase genes and some amino acid biosynthetic genes usually in Gram-positive bacteria. Lineage: Bacteria; Bacillati; Bacillota; Clostridia; Eubacteriales; Clostridiaceae. The record is from RNAcentral.